UGGGGACUAGUAUCAACGGCAUCACGAAGACUACACUGUCUCCCCCCUAAAAUCAAUGAAACUAAUCCCCUCGUGAAGAAGCGAGGAUACAAAUAUAAGACGAGAAGACCCCAUGGAGCUUUAAACAAACCUCAACUGCUCCCUCCCUAAUCAUAGAAAUUGAGCAUUAAUGACGGGUAGUUUUCGGUUGGGGUGACCGCGGAGUAAAACAAAACCUCCACAAUGAAUGUAACAAAAUACUAAUAAAAGAACCACAAUUCUAACAAUCAAAAAAUUGACAUAUUUGACCCAAACACUUGAUCAAUGAACCAAGUUACCCUGGGGAUAACAGCGCAAUCCAUUUUAAGAGCCCUUAUCGACAAAUGGGUUUACGACCUCGAUGUUGGAUCAGGGUAUCCUAGUGGUGCAGCCGCUACUAAUGGUUCGUUUGUUCAACGAUUAAAACCCUACGUGAUCUG
RNAcentral lists this ribosomal RNA (458 nucleotides) under Leptopelis flavomaculatus. RNAcentral describes it as "partial large subunit ribosomal RNA". It matches the Rfam family "Bacterial large subunit ribosomal RNA", at positions 1981 to 2607 of the family's 2925-position model. The record is from RNAcentral. Lineage: Eukaryota; Metazoa; Chordata; Amphibia; Anura; Arthroleptidae.